Molecule: long non-coding RNA, 295 nt
Organism: Zea mays
Lineage: Eukaryota; Viridiplantae; Streptophyta; Magnoliopsida; Poales; Poaceae
Exons: 2
Source: RefSeq, a predicted model, not a curated record
CGAAGCUGUCUUGAAAAUCAAAUAAAACAGCACAAUGCUAAGCGUGCUACAAUGGCUAAGGAGGUCAAAUCUACCGAGGGUGAAGGCGACGACAAUUACUCGUAUGAAGUUUCUUUAGACGAGGACUUCUUGACUUCAUUGGAAUACGGAAUGCCACCGGCAUCAGGAAUGGGCCUCGGUAUCGACCGGUUAGUAAUGCUUUUGACGAACUCUUCUAGCAUAAGGGACGUUAUUGCCUUUCCUGUCUUGAAGAUUCAGCAAUAGAUCCCCUUCAUUCUGUGAAGAGACGUGGCUG